UGGGGAAUAUUGCACAAUGGGCGCAAGCCUGAUGCAGCCAUGCCGCGUGUAUGAAGAAGGCCUUCGGGUUGUAAAGUACUUUCAGCGAGGAGGAAGGCGUUGUGGUUAAUAACCGCAGCGAUUGACGUUACUCGCAGAAGAAGCACCGGCUAACUCCGUGCCAGCAGCCGCGGUAAUACGGAGGGUGCAAGCGUUAAUCGGAAUUACUGGGCGUAAAGCGCACGCAGGCGGUCUGUCAAGUCGGAUGUGAAAUCCCCGGGCUCAACCUGGGAACUACAUCCGAAACUGGCAGGCUAGAGUCUUGUAGAGGGGGGUAGAAUUCCAGGUGUAGCGGUGAAAUGCGUAGAGAUCUGGAGGAAUACCGGUGGCGAAGGCGGCCCCCUGGACAAAGACUGACGCUCAGGUGCGAAAGCGUGGGGAGCAAACA
Molecule: ribosomal RNA, 427 nt
Filed under: uncultured bacterium
Lineage: Bacteria
Description: partial 16S ribosomal RNA
Rfam family: Bacterial small subunit ribosomal RNA
Source: RNAcentral